GCGGGGGGCUACCAUGCAGUCGAAGGUGAACUCCGCUUGCGGGGGGAUCAGUGGCGAACGGGUGAGUAACACGUGGGCAACCUGCCCUCAGCUCUGGGAUAACUCCAAGAAAUUGGGGCUAAUACUGGAUAUGACUGCUGACCGCAUGGUCUGGUGGUGGAAAGAUUUAUCGGCUGGGGAUGGGCCCGCGGCCUAUCAGCUUGUUGGUGGGGUAGUGGCCUACCAAGGCGACGACGGGUAGCCGGCCUGAGAGGGUGACCGGCCACACUGGGACUGAGACACGGCCCAGACUCCUACGGGAGGCAGCAGUGGGGAAUAUUGCGCAAUGGGCGAAAGCCUGACGCAGCGACGCCGCGUGGGGGAUGACGGCCUUCGGGUUGUAAACCUCUUUCAGCAGGGACGAAGCGCAAGUGACGGUACCUGCAGAAGAAGCACCGGCCAACUACGUGCCAGCAGCCGCGGUAAUACGUAGGGUGCAAGCGUUGUCCGGAAUUAUUGGGCGUAAAGAGCUCGUAGGCGGUUUGUUGCGUCGGCUGUGAAAUCCCGAGGCUCAACCUCGGGUCUGCAGUCGAUACGAGCAAACUAGAGUGUUGCAGGGGAGACUGGAAUUCCUGGUGUAGCGGUGAAAUGCGCAGAUAUCAGGAGGAACACCGGUGGCGAAGGCGGGUCUCUGGGCAACAACUGACGCUGAGGAGCGAAAGCGUGGGGAGCGAACAGGAUUAGAUACCCUGGUAGUCCACGCCGUANACGUUGGGCGCUAGGUGUGGGGCUCAUUCCACGAGUUCCGUGCCGCAGCUAACGCAUUAAGCGCCCCGCCUGGGGAGUACGGCCGNCAGGCUAAAACUCAAAGGAA
This 853-nucleotide ribosomal RNA is filed under the name uncultured bacterium. RNAcentral describes it as "bacterial SSU rRNA". It matches the Rfam family "Bacterial small subunit ribosomal RNA", at positions 39 to 909 of the family's 1533-position model. The record is from RNAcentral.